CCUACGGGUGGCUGCAGUAGGGAAUAUUGCGCAAUGGGCGAAAGCCUGACGCAGCAAUUCCGCGUGGAGGAUGAAGUUUCUUGGAACGUAAACUCCUUUCGGUGGUGAAGAUAAUGACGGUAGCCACAGAAGAAGCACCGGCUAACUACGUGCCAGCAGCCGCGGUAAGACGUAGGGUGCAAGCGUUGUCCGGAUUUAUUGGGCGUAAAGAGUUCGUAGGCGGUUUGCCAAGUCUGACGUUAAAUACUGGAGCUCAACUCCAGCAUGGCAUCGGA
This 275-nucleotide ribosomal RNA is filed under the name uncultured bacterium. RNAcentral's name for it is "partial 16S ribosomal RNA". It matches the Rfam family "Bacterial small subunit ribosomal RNA", at positions 338 to 630 of the family's 1533-position model. The record is from RNAcentral.